This 436-nucleotide long non-coding RNA is filed under the name Coturnix japonica (Japanese quail). Its description in RNAcentral is "lncRNA (ENSCJPG00005000227.1)". The record is from RNAcentral. Lineage: Eukaryota; Metazoa; Chordata; Aves; Galliformes; Phasianidae.
GGAAAACAUCCACCUUCUGUAUAAGGUGAUCAAAUACUUGAAUUCCUUUGCUACUGAAAUGGGCUGCUCAGGUCAGUCGCGGCAAACCUCUUGUGCAGUAAAACUCUCUCACACUGUAUUUGGAUUUUGAAUCAAUAACUGCCCUGUAGCCAGGGUUACUAUGACGCAUUAGCAAAGCCAGGGGAGAAACAACAGCAGAGCUGAAGUUGAGCCAGUGGUGGCAUUCUUGUUGAAACACCUUAUAAGCCUUAAAUGCUUGAAAAUCUUCUACUUGCAUUUCUUCCUCCUCAGGAGAAAGAGAAGGAGCUUUUUGCAUGACCACUGAGUGCAGGGGGAAGGAUAAUGCAAAAAGACCAGCGCAUUGGAUGCCUCAAUAUUGCAUGAGGUAGAAAGAGGUAAUAUGUGUCUUUGAGCUUGACUGAAUGGAGACUCACCC